UUUUUAGGAAUCCAAGGCAGGCCAACAUAUUGAAAUAAUAGCUACAAAACUCCUAACCUUCUUUGGGGGUCAUACACAGCAUACUAUACUUGGGAAUGGCAUUCUGACACAUUUAUUACAUAAUAAUGCUAUUAUAUGUAAUGCUAUUCUGACACAUUUGUUAGGUAACAUUAAUGGCUUUGAGUGGGACUUAGAACAAGAAAAGGCUCUGAAACAGAUCCAAGAUGUUGUUUGAGCCAUGCAACUAGAAGAUCUCAUAGAACUAAAGUUAUCUAAUUUACAGAAAAGGUUUUACGUGACGUCUAUUGUACAGAUUCAUAUGAAAACCAUAGUUCAAACUCCAAGGUUUAAGAAGUAAGAAAGAUCAUGCCAUUUGCAACAAACAUGCAUGCAUAUUUGAAAAGCAACUGUAAGUAUGCUAUUGGACAUUGGUAAAGAUUGAAUAUCUGACCAUGGCAUAUCAAGAAACCAUGGAAUGAGUACUGCUUAUCAAGAUCUGGGUGUGAGAAGACUUAAAAAGUCAGAUAGUCAGUGAGAACCAGCUAGAAUCCAUGCAUGAUGUUUUUCAGUGAAAAAGUGGGAAGAUGAAGUGUUUGGAGGGCUUUUAAAUGGAGUAAAAUGGAAACAAAGACAAGUUAUCCCAACACCAAAAAGAGUAGGGGAUAGAAGGAUAUGUCAAGGUUUGAAAACCAUCCUUCAGAAAUGCAGGAAAGUCAAAGCUAGAAAUUUCUUUUAUGGUACCCAGGAUUUGUUUUAAUUAAGUUUGAUAAGGCACACAGGCACGAACGUGAUUGUGGUUAAUAAAGGCAUUUGCAUUAUUCUCACGGUCUCCUAAAAAUAGAAGGCCCAGCACACUAUGCCUGGGAAGUAUCUGCAUGAGAUGAGCAGGCAGAGAGGAGAGCUGAGGGCAGGGCCUUGACUGGAGUUUUUGUUGGGAGGAAUGGACAAUGGAAAGCACGCAAGCCAAAUCUGUUGUGGGAAAACUAGAAGACCAAAAAAAGCACGAAAGUCAAGAAAGAAGUCUCUUUUCACAUGAAAGUGGCUGUGCUAAUGGUCUAUCAAGAUAUCCUGAGUUUCCAGUAGAGAUGUUUCAGCCAUAACACAGGCCUGGUAGAAAAAGCCUGAAGACAAAUACUGCUAUGAAUGGUUACAUCUAGGACUUCUGAAAUUAGCCCCAGAUUCAACUCAUUUUUUUCUGCAUUUGCUGAGCAAUAUGACAUGUUUACACCGAUUAGCUAAAAAGUUAUGUGAAGAAUGGGCAACAAUAUCUCUAA
This 1274-nucleotide long non-coding RNA is filed under the name Homo sapiens (human). RNAcentral describes it as "HSALNT0318918". The record is from RNAcentral. Lineage: Eukaryota; Metazoa; Chordata; Mammalia; Primates; Hominidae.